CCAAAGGCUCUUUUCAGAGCCACCUACAGUCUCGAAAAGGAGCUG
Non-coding RNA from Mesitornis unicolor (brown roatelo), 45 nucleotides. The record is from Rfam. NCBI's taxonomy places the organism in Eukaryota, Metazoa, Chordata, Aves, Mesitornithiformes, Mesitornithidae.